Molecule: ribosomal RNA, 845 nt
Filed under: uncultured Pseudomonas sp.
Lineage: Bacteria; Pseudomonadati; Pseudomonadota; Gammaproteobacteria; Pseudomonadales; Pseudomonadaceae
Description: bacterial SSU rRNA
Rfam family: Bacterial small subunit ribosomal RNA
Source: RNAcentral
CAGGCCUAACACAUGCAAGUCGAGCGGAUGAAGGGAGCUUGCUCCCGGAUUCAGCGGCGGACGGGUGAGUAAUGCCUAGGAAUCUGCCUGGUAGUGGGGGACAACGUUUCGAAAGGAACGCUAAUACCGCAUACGUCCUACGGGAGAAGGCAGGGGACCUUCGGGCCUUGCGCUAUCAGAUGAGCCUAGGUCGGAUUAGCUAGUUGGUGAGGUAAUGGCUCACCAAGGCGACGAUCCGUAACUGGUCUGAGAGGAUGAUCAGUCACACUGGAACUGAGACACGGUCCAGACUCCUACGGGAGGCAGCAGUGGGGAAUAUUGGACAAUGGGCGAAAGCCUGAUCCAGCCAUGCCGCGUGUGUGAAGAAGGUCUUCGGAUUGUAAAGCACUUUAAGUUGGGAGGAAGGGUUGUAGAUUAAUACUCUGCAAUUUUGACGUUACCGACAGAAUAAGCACCGGCUAACUCUGUGCCAGCAGCCGCGGUAAUACAGAGGGUGCAAGCGUUAAUCGGAAUUACUGGGCGUAAAGCGCGCGUAGGUGGUUCGUUAAGUUGGAUGUGAAAUCCCCGGGCUCAACCUGGGAACUGCAUCCAAAACUGGCGAGCUAGAGUAUGGUAGAGGGUGGUGGAAUUUCCUGUGUAGCGGUGAAAUGCGUAGAUAUAGGAAGGAACACCAGUGGCGAAGGCGACCACCUGGACUGAUACUGACACUGAGGUGCGAAAGCGUGGGGAGCAAACAGGAUUAGAUACCCUGGUAGUCCACGCCGUAAACGAUGUCAACUAGCCGUUGGGAGCCUUGAGCUCUUAGUGGCGCAGCUAAACGCAUUAAGUUGACCGCCCGGGGAGUA